AAGCCGUGGUGUGGGACAUUGGUUAGUAUAGCUCCUAAACCGUUCCCAAGCCUCACUAAAGCUCUCGUUGUUGUGCUGCGUGAAACUUGAGAUCUGAUUCCUGAGCUU
Molecule: small nucleolar RNA, 108 nt
Organism: Eutrema salsugineum
Lineage: Eukaryota; Viridiplantae; Streptophyta; Magnoliopsida; Brassicales; Brassicaceae
Rfam family: Plant small nucleolar RNA R71
About the family: R71 is a member of the C/D box family of snoRNAs containing the C (UGAUGA) and D (CUGA) box motifs. Multiple nearly identical copies of this snoRNA have been identified in Arabidopsis, and it is thought to function as a 2'-O-ribose methylation guide for 18S ribosomal RNA.
Source: Rfam